Polaribacter atrinae is the source of this 95-nucleotide regulatory RNA element. It matches the Rfam family "TPP riboswitch aptamer (THI element)". Rfam says of the family: Vitamin B(1) in its active form thiamin pyrophosphate (TPP) is an essential coenzyme that is synthesised by coupling of pyrimidine and thiazole moieties in bacteria. The previously detected thiamin-regulatory element, thi box was extended, resulting in a new, highly conserved RNA secondary structure, the THI element, which is widely distributed in eubacteria and also occurs in some archaea. NCBI's taxonomy places the organism in Bacteria, Pseudomonadati, Bacteroidota, Flavobacteriia, Flavobacteriales, Flavobacteriaceae. The record is from Rfam.
AGUAAACUUUAGGAGUAGCUAUUAAAUUAGUUUGAGAAAAAUCCUUAGAACCUGAUUUGGUUAAUACCAACGUAGGAAAAAGUUGCUUAGAUUUA